UAAGAACAAACAGGUACAUGGCUUUGCAUAGCCACUAAUGUCUCUAAAUAAUUUGUAUCUAAUGAUUAAUCACUAAUUACUGCCAACCCUGGGGCUCAGUCAUGGAGCUAGACUGGCCGAGGGACACUCUCAGUUGUCGGGGAGGGGAAGGGAGUGUGGUGGCACAUACGUGCCUCCUGUGCAUUUAGCUCCUUGCGCUCCAGCUGUCCAUUUAACCCCAGGUGGCUGCGGGCGAGCUUGGCUUCCAACGGAAUGUAGCUCAGACUGUGGUCUCUGUGGGAAGCCUUGCUCCAAAAGCACUCUCUUAGUUUGGGUUCCUCCAAAACCAACCUUGGGACAGGGACCUAGGUGCAAGUAGUUUAUCUGAAAGGUGAUCCCAGAAAAUAGGAGGGAGGGCAUGGGGAAGGAAGACAAGGAAGGGAGAAAAGCCAAUAAAGUGAAUGAAUGAGCAGAUUUCUCUGGGCAACUGGGUUUGGUCCUGCUGGAGACCCUCUGAAAAAUUAUGUGGAUACACUUAAGAACCAUCCUGUCCCUCACUGGGGGAGGGGUUUCACAUAGAGAGUAACUUUUCCUUGACUUCUAGACUGUGUAGGGUGGAACAAGCUCCCUCGAUGCUGGAGAAAGCCCUCUGGCAGAGAAGAAGCUGCUGCCCCUGUGGGGGAUACAGUCUCCUACUGGUGCCUUUCAUUGGCUGAGCUCAACCGGAAGCAGAAGGAAGUGUUGCCUGGAUGGUGCAGUCCACAGAGGUCCAUCUUCUGAAGAACAGCACAGGGCAAAGAGAGCCAGAAGGAUGGGGCAGAAGGGUGGCAAUGAGAACACAGUCUGAUUGAUUGCUUCCAGAAUGGCUCUCUGCUUUCUGUCCAUUCCCACAGUCAUCAUCUUUGUUCCAGCCUCGUCAUUCCACCCCUAGACUAUUGGGACAACCUCCUAACCCAUCUCCCUGUCUCCAAUCCUCCAUUCCUAAUGUCUGCAACAUAGAGUCCGUCCAUUCCCAUUUCAGAGAACUGUGUUCCCCAUUCUCUACUCAUGACUGACGAUGGCCAGGUAAAAGGCAAUUUAGGGGACAAAAAGAUGAUUCCAAGACUUCACAUCUUAUUUUUAGUAAUGAGGAUAGAUAUUAAGAAGCAGAAAUGGAUAAUUUCACCAUAAAAAGGUGUGGUUAAAAAGAUGUGUAAACUUGAGUCUUUCAUGCCUUAGCAUCAUAGUCGAGGCUCUUCUCAGGCCAAAUUUUCCCUUCCAGAUUUGUUUUCUAAGACUUGUGUUCUACUCCAUUGUUCCAUGUACCUUGGGUCCCAGCCCUGCUGAUCGCCUGACAUCCUUUGACUGCACAUACCAUCCACGCUGAGAAUUCUAGGUCUUUGCUGUUCUUCCAGCCCAGAAAGCCCAUCCCCAGCCGGCCCUGGUGGUUGUCUGGUCAGCUGCUCAUAGUUAGUGGAGCCAGAUUGCCAGACUUGUAAGACCUCAUAAUCCGAGUGUGGUACGUAGACCAGCAGCACAGCAGCACCUGGAAGCUGUUAGAACGCUAACUCUUGGGCUCACUGUACCUAGAAGCAGAACCCUGCAUCUGGACCAGAUCUCCAGGUUUAUGUCAAACUGAGGUCUGUCACUGCUGCUGAGAGGAUUCAGCCCAGGGGGUCUGCUGUAUGUCCUGUUCCAAGGAGGCAGCCCAAGACAGUGGAUUACUGAUGCUUCAGACCUGAUCUGCUGGGGAGCCCUGGCCUAGGAGACAGGAUACCUGACAAGUGGUCCCACUGUGCCAUCUUGUAAAGCUGUUGAACCACCCAGUGCUGAGUAUCUCCUGGAGCAAAGGAAGCGCGAUCUUCACCACCUACCCUCUUCUUGUGGAUGUUGCAAAUGCACUGUAAAUUAGGGACAUCGCAAGAGCUCCUAUGUGUGCUCCCCUCUGGAAGGGCUUCAUUCCAAAGUUAAGCACUUUCUAGGUCUUUGAAGGCUAGUAUAUGAGUCAGGAUUUUACCAGAGAAAUGAAAUUGGUAGAAUGUAUGAUACUGUCAUAUAUAUAGUAUAUGUAUAUAGUAGUGUAUACAUUUGUAUAUACGUGUGUGUGUGUGCGUGUCAAGAGAUUUAGUGCAAGGGCUCGGCUUACACAACUGUAAGCGUUGGCUGGGCAACCUAUAGGGUAGGCCUUCAGGAAGGGCAGACUGAAAACUCUCAGUAGGAGCUGAAGCUGCAGUCCCCAGGCAGGAUUUCUUCUUCCUCAGGGAAACCUCAGUUGUACUUGAAAGGUCUUUCAACUGAUUGGAUCAGACCCACCAGGAUUAUUGAGGAUAUUCUCUUGAAAGUCAGCUGGUUAUAGAUGUUAAUUACACCUACAGAAUACCUUCACAGAAGCACCUAGAUUAGUGUUUGCUUGAAUAACCAGCUAUUACCAGCCUAGUUAAGUUGACGGACAAAAUUGACCAUUGCAGCUAGAAUCUGGAAGUGAUCAUCCAAUUUAGCAAUAUUGCCUUCACUUGGUUUAGGUGGAGAGAAAAUAAUACUAUUAUGUCCGUGGGUUCAGUUGAGUUUUUAGAGAGAGAUUCUCUUCCAAAUGUUUCAUUCAUUCACUCUUCCAUCAGACAUAAUUUGGAGCCUCUGCACUGAGGUAGGAGCUAGAGGCACAUGGAUGAAUGAAUGGUGGUUAGUCUAUGCCACAGUGGAGCUUACCGUAUGGUGGAUGAAAUGAGCAUAUACACAGAGGACAACAUGGUGAAUGCGACGAGGGAGAUAUGCAUGUGGAUUUCAAGAAACCUCACCCAGGGAAAUCAGAGGGGGCUUCCAGGAGGAGGUAAUGCCUGCAUGUGGAAGAUGGGGAAAGGGGAAGAAAGAGGGGCAUGUGUAUAGAGAGGCCAUCCCAAGCGGAGAGGACACAAAGUUAAGCAAAUGCACCAAGGUGAGGGGUGCCAUGGAUUUGUCAGGGACUAUAAGCAGGUUUGUGGUCCAGGAAUGAGGAGAAUGAGGUGUGGAGAUUAGCGAGGCUGGGGAGAUGGCAAGGACUGCAUUCUGAAGAGCCUCAUAGAGGAGUUUGGACUUACCUGCAGGUGGCAGGGACAACUUUGUCACCUCACCUCUGCAUGUUGAAAGGGCCCCCUUGGAAUCUGUGGGAAAGAUGGGAUUAAUGGGGACAAAACUAGGGAGAGGAAGGCCCAUUAGAGGCUAGCAAUACUGAAGGUCACGACCAGAGCAAUUAUUUUAGGUUUGGAAGGAAGGCAUCCAGAAAUACUUGGGAGGUGAACUCCACAGAAUUGGGUGGUUGGUUGGACCUGUGGGUGUGUAAGGAGAAGCAAGAGGUAGAAGAUGGAACUAUUGCUUCGAGGGAGGGCACAGGGGGAGGAAAAGAUUUAUAGAGGAAGCUGAUGAGCUCAGUUGGGGAUAUAAUGAGUUUGAGAUGUCUGAGGGACACACAGCUGCCGGUUGUCGGCUUGACAUGUGGAUGUAGGGCUCAGGGAAGAGACCUGGGCUGGGAAUUUGGGACUGUAGGUGUUUGGAAGCCAUUAAAAAUAGGUGGUAGUACGAAGCAUGCAGUAGAUAAGAUCAUCCAGAAGCAGACCCAUGAGACAGACAUUGUUUCCAAUUCACAGAUGAGAAAACUGGGUUAAGGCUCCUAUUUUGUGAAAAAAAGGGCAAACACCAGCGGGAAGUGCAUUUGACAUGUGUUAUCAUUUUCCCCUACUUGUGAAUGAAUGCUACUAGGUUAGCACUGAGAUGCAGCCCUCUCUCCCCUGGGAUAGGACUAGGACUCAGGGAGGUCACACAGCUCCUGGGUGUCAUGUGUGGCUAGAACACAUGCCCUCUAAAUUCCAACCAGGUCUUUCCCCCUCUGUGUGGUGCAUAGGGGGCAAUUUUGACUGUGUGGAUGAGGGAGAGCACCUGUGGUACUGGGGACCUGGGGUCAGCAGGGUGGUGGGAGGCUUUCAGGCAGGAACUCCAAGCAAGAAGGGGAGAGGUCCCAGGGAAAGGGGCCUGGGCUGUUCGAACUGCACAGCACGCAGGCAUGCCACAGAGCUUUCUCUCUCACACCAAGGCAUGUGAUGGUCCAAGUGAAUGCACGACCCCCCUACUACCGGUGGUGUUCAAAAAAAUAACCUCAGUUGUCAUUAAUCGCUUAGUAUAAUUUAGAAUCAGCAUGAAAAAGAGGGAAAGAAAUGGUGAGCAAGGGAAAGAGUUCACCCAGGAGGGAGACAGGGCAGCCUCUGAAAGACUCCCUGAGCUGUGCUGACAGCCAGGUUUACCUGGACCUCUGAGCUGCAGCCAAUGUUUUGGUAGCUAAGGAGUCCCAUGUGGGUAAUCUGACCCUAACCUGACUGCAGUGGUCAGUGAGCCCUGCUCUGCACAGACCAUUCAGCGAGAUGUUAGCUACCACCCAGUGUACUUUGCACAAAGGCAAAAAGAUGUGUAUGGAAUCCUGGAACGUUAGUUGCUAUAGCAACAUCUGUCUUUAUUAUCACCUAAACCCAUUCACUGCAUAAAUAUAGUAACUUUUUGACUUCCCCACCCCCCAGUCCACUUGGUAGGAUUUAAAAAGAAAUUGCAACAGCCAAAAAAUAAAAAUAAAAAAUAAAAAAGACCCACGAACUGCAGUAUCAUGGGUGUAUGCACAGAAGAGGUUUUGGAGGUGGGGAGAGCAUGAGGACACUUGUGGGUGGGGUAGAUUUUCACAGGUUGAAAGUUAGUGGAGAUGGCUACUCUUACAACCAAAGCAGAAAGGGCAAAUUCCUAGAAGUCAUGGGACAAAUUUGCAUGGAAUGCUGAAAAAAAAAAGGGGGAAUGAAGGAGGAGAGGUACAGAAGAGGGAAAUAUUACGGUGGAAAGAAGUCGAAUUUGUAAUCAGAUAAAGCUGAGCUCAAAUCUUGGCAUUCUGCUUAUACCUGUUUGACCUUGGGUCACUCAGUCCCCUGAGCCUGUUUGCUCAGGACUGAGCCUGUUUGCUCAUCUGCAGAGUGGCAGAACCAUAUCCCACAGCCUAUUUCAGCAACCUGAUCUCCUUAUAUGAGGCCUGAAGACUCCAUCUCUAAUGUUGGGCCAGAGAGUGAGAUGUGCUCACCAGCAGGAGGAGAUUUCCUAGGCACCAGCUCUGGUCUCUGCAGUGAAUGGCAGAAAGGGACAGGCCCAGCAGGGGCUGGGGAGAGUGACCAUCAUCAGUCUGGACGAGGGGCUAGGCCAGCCAGCCGGGGCAGGUAAGGUGCAGCAGGGCAGGCAAGGCACAGCAGGGCAAAAUAGGGAGUGGGAAGGAGAAGUCUCCUGCCAAUGGAUGUUCCAUGGGUUGUUUUUCCUUCUGAAGACCGAGUUUCUGUAUGUGGAGCUAUUAACCAUUGGGAGGGGGUGGAGAAGGAAGCCAUGGACAGAAAUCUAACAUCUAACAGCCAUUUUUGGAAAGCCUGCUAUGAGCCAGGCACUGUGCUGAGAACCAGGGGAAGUAAAGAUGGACAGACAGUCCCACUGAGGCCAGAGGGAGAGGAAGGACAGAAACUUUUCUCUCACACCCAUCCUGACCCCGCCCCCCGGGCUUCUUGCUCCCUGAGUCGAACUAUUUUGUUUCAUUGGACUCUAAAUAACAAAAGCAAACACUUACAUAGCACUGGCUACUUGCCAGGCACUAUGCUAAGCGCUUCAUAAAUAUUAAUUUGUUUAAUCCCCACAAUGAUUGCAUAAAGUGGAAACAUAUUGUCCCACUUUGCAGAUGAGUAAACUGAGGCAGAGAGUGACAUGCACAGGAUUUGUGUGGUCUUAUAAAGUACUGGCUCCAAGGGUGAGACCCAACCUGAGAGCUGCUGCUGCUGCUUUUUUUUAAAAUAAUUCUCAUGAGAGAACACAACAUAAACAUUUAGCCUGAACCUGGCUACACUAAGUGCCUAAUAAAUGUUGGCUCUUACUGCUAUGAUUAUUAUUCUCUAGUGGAACUGCUGUCAGGCCCAUGAAGUUCAAUCAUUUUUUUCUGUUUUUGAAAAUGGCUCUCCUUGUCUCCCAAAUCUUGGCUUGAGAGAACCUCUUCCCUUUGUGACUGGGAAUCUCUAGAAAUACAUCAAUUCCUUAGAAAGGAAGGGGGUGAGGACAAGAAAGGAGCCAGGCAGCAGGACUAGGUCUCUGAAGCCAGAGUCAUUGCCCUGGUUAUAUUCAGACAGGCCUGGGUUCAAAUCCUACCUCAGGCAUUACUAGCUGCCUCCUGAGGCAAGUCGCUUGAACUUCUGAACAUCGCUCGUAGUGCUGUUCUGGUGGUUAAAGGGCAGGAGUGCCGUGCCUGCUACAUAGGAAGUGCUUGGUGGAGGUAGCUCUUAUGAUAGUUAGGAUAGUGAUGUUGAUGGCAAGGAUGGUGAUGACGAAGAUGAUGGUUCCUGCUCCCAUUUUCUUUCUCUCUCUGCUUCUCAUCAGGUUGCUGAAGAGAGGCAUGAAAAGCAGUGAGCAUCUUGUGCAGGCUCUGAGAGGUCCUAGAGUAAAAGCAUCUGUUUAGUUAUGUUGAACCUAGAUUUCCCAAAACUUAUUUGAGCACAGAGUUCUUUAAGCAGAGAACCUUGGGCUGGGAGACAGAGGCUCCUGUACCUAGGAUACCAUUGUCAUAGACUGCAGUGGAGUUGGGCACUCCUGCUGCAUCAGGGGAGUGUAUAGGCAGUGACCGAGGCUCUUUCUUCCCCUUCCUCCUGUCCUGGAGGGCUGUAUUGACCUAUGAAGGGUGGUGGUCGGACUGUGCCCUAUAUUAGUACUAAAAUGAUGCUACUUUGCCUAAGACUUUCCAGGUUUUAGCUCUGAAAAUCCUGCAUCUUGGGAAAGCCUUAAUCCUGGAAGAAUUGGCUCGGAAGGACACCCCAGUUUACUCCCUUUCUCUGCCCCCUCCAUCAUCUUCAUGAGGCUAGACAGCUUCCCCUGGCUGAGAGUGCAAAUAUAGUGAGUGGGAAUACAGAUGAGAAUAUAAAUAUGUGGAUAAUUCAGAAUAUGAUAACUCUGGAUCCAGAUGAAAACCCAGCUGUGAUAACUGGAUAUAUAAAUAAGAAUGCAAACUCCACGGUAAGAAAACAGCUUCUAUGAUUCCCGCAAAGACCUCAUUUUCCAAUACCAUGGCUUCCAGUCAAGCCACCAAUCCCUUUCUUGUGCUGAGGGCAAGACUAGUUUGCUGACCUCUGCAGGGGAGGGAGGGAUCCUAGUGGGUGUGUUUCAGGAAGCUGGCCCUGCCAGCCUGGGGAGAAAAUGCUGAGAUGAGUGCAAGCUGGAGGCACUGAAGACUCUCAUCCUGGCUGGCUGGGCACUGUGGCAGGUGACAAGGUACUGAUGGAAGCACUGUUUAUCACGUCAACAAGGCAUGAACCAAGGACCUUUGAUGUCUCAGCCCAUUUCCCUGCCAGGCACUAGCUUUAUCCUCCUUGUAGAUAUCAUGGGGCCAUUGCUCUAAAAUUAGGAGGAAUAGAGCAUCUAUUUAAGUCUUUCCCACUCACUUGUAGAGCUGUCUUGUCUUCCCCAUGCCCCUUCAUAUCUUCCUUUUCUCAGUGUGCUUUGUUAAAAUUGUGAUCAAGUCUCCAAAUGUCUUUAUAGCUUCUUCUAGACUGUUUUGGUUACCUGCUACUGCAUAAUAAGCCCCCCAAAACUUACUAUGCUCACAAAUUCUAUGGAUCAGGAAUUCUAACAGAGCGCUGUGGGGAUGGCUCGUCUGUUUCAGGAUGUCUGGGGGCUGCAGCUGGGAAUAUUUGAACAACUGGGAAUAGCUUUAUUAUUAUUAUUAUUAUUUUUUAAAAGAUUUUAUUUAUUUAUUUGACAGAGAUAGAGACAGCUAGCGA
Ailuropoda melanoleuca (giant panda) is the source of this 7760-nucleotide long non-coding RNA. RefSeq lists it as uncharacterized. The transcript is spliced from 4 exons. NCBI's taxonomy places the organism in Eukaryota, Metazoa, Chordata, Mammalia, Carnivora, Ursidae. The record is from RefSeq and is a predicted model, not a curated record.